UCAGUUUAGAGCCAUUGAUCUAUCAUAAAACAUGAUGAUAAAGCGGAUUAGUGUUAUUUGGACCAUGGCAUCACCGGUUGCGGGCUCUGACCUUGCCGCCCAUUGAUGGUCAGGUGUUCGAGGGUUUGUAUUUACUCCCAGCUUAUUACAAACAGAAUUGAUCUUCUGUAUUUGUGGAAACUACCAGGUUGCAGGAUUCAAUGCGUGUUGGGUGCCUAUACAAAGUGCAGAUUUCUGUUGGAUUAAUUAUUCUCUUCCAUAUUCUUGGUUCAGAACUAAAUUAGACAUAAACUGAAAUUAUUAUACUUGUCAUGGGCUCCUAACAUUUGACCAAUUGUCCGCCUACUUCCUUGUUCUCAUAUUUCGUUAUUUCAUGUGUAUCCCGGUGAGUAAUAUGGUCCCCUUCCCUAGAUACAUAUUUAUUACUUGAUUGGGUUGCAGUGAAAGAAUUAUUGUGUUGCUCUUAGACACUAAAGAUAUUAUU
Lolium perenne is the source of this 484-nucleotide long non-coding RNA. RefSeq lists it as uncharacterized. Lineage: Eukaryota; Viridiplantae; Streptophyta; Magnoliopsida; Poales; Poaceae. The record is from RefSeq and is a predicted model, not a curated record.